ACCCGCGUACAUGCCACCGGGGCAUCCCGGAGGCAGGAAAGGCUUCGGCCGGACAGGGAUGGGCAUGCGGCGCAUUAGGCAGUAGGCGGGGUAACGGCCCACCUAACCGACGAUGCGUAGGGGUUCUGAGAGGAAGGUCCCCCACACUGGUACUGAGACACGGACCAGACUCCUACGGGAGGCAGCAGUGAGGAAUAUUGGUCAAUGGUCGGGAGACUGAACCAGCCAAGCCGCGUGAGGGAUGAAGGUACAGAGUAUCGUAAACCUCUUUUGUCAGGGAACAAAGGCGGGGACGUGUCCCCGGAUGAGUGUACCUGAAGAAAAAGCAUCGGCUAACUCCGUGCCAGCAGCCGCGGUAAUACGGAGGAUGCGAGCGUUAUCCGGAUUUAUUGGGUUUAAAGGGUGCGCAGGCGGUCUGUUAAGUCAGCGGUCAAAGCCCGGGGCUCAACCCCGGCCCGCCGUUGAAACUGGCAGUCUCGAGUUGGAGAGAAGUAUGCGGAAUGCGCGGUGUAGCGGUGAAAUGCAUAGAUAUCGCGCAGAACUCCGAUUGCGAAGGCAGCAUGCCGGCUCCACACUGACGCUGAGGCACGAAAGCGUGGGUAUCGAACAGAAGUAGAUACCCUGGUAGUCCACGCGGUAAACGAU
RNAcentral lists this ribosomal RNA (645 nucleotides) under uncultured bacterium. Its description in RNAcentral is "bacterial SSU rRNA". It matches the Rfam family "Bacterial small subunit ribosomal RNA", at positions 167 to 810 of the family's 1533-position model. The record is from RNAcentral.